Long non-coding RNA from Osmia bicornis bicornis, 7787 nucleotides. RefSeq lists it as uncharacterized. The record is from RefSeq and is a predicted model, not a curated record. The transcript has 2 exons. Lineage: Eukaryota; Metazoa; Arthropoda; Insecta; Hymenoptera; Megachilidae.
CGGCUACAUGUUCGUUUAGAUUUUUAAUUAUCAAGUAAUAUUACAACUUGACAAGUUAUCGAUAAGUUCGAUUCUCUUUUACUAUUGGAGAAAUCAUGUAAAAAUUAUGAUUAUAAUUCACCGUCCUUUCUCGUGAAACAAAACUAAAACUACAGUUUAGGAAAAAGGUCAAUGAACCCUUUCGUCUUCGGUUGGUUCUUCAGGCAAAACUUGGAAAGGAAAAUAUAAAUUAUUAUGAAAAAGAAAUAAUGUGUGUGCGCCUGAGAGGACCGAACACCAACAAUGGAAAAGCUAAGAGAUUCCACGCGUCAACAACGACAUUAAACAAAUUUGAAAAAUAUUAAUUUAGCCGAACAGACUAUGUACCGAUGACGUACUUCCGGUGAAAUAUUCAACUGAACGUGUGGCGCACGAACACUGAACACUCCCCUGGCGGAAGCGAGCUUUGCGCAUCGAUCUGUUCCGGGUACUCUGCUUUUCGGUGUUCACUUGAUAGAAUUGCAAAUCUCUAUAUCAGUGAAUACCGAGGUGGCAAGAAAAUAAAUUGUAAAACUUUCGAUCGUCAUUGUUUCUUGACGUUGUACACGUUCGUGGACACAAUGGACCGCGUACGCGCACAAUUUCUAACCUCUAAAAAAUGGCCGCAUUUGUUCCGUGCUUUUAGUCGUCACGGACGCGAAAUUUUCACGGUUUCUCGUGAAUUCGCCUCCCUCGAAACAGCAUGGCCCUCGAGCGCGUUAAUUUUCCUCAGUGAAUUGAUUUCGACCCCGCCACCCUGUAGCCAUUCGCUCUCGUUGCCCGUUCCUGCGUUAACUCUGCCCAGUUAGAUCGAAGUUGCGAACCGCCAAGAGGGAGAGCCCCGGAUCACUGAGAGGAACCAGACCAAGAGGGGAAAGCGAUGGGAGUACCAGGAGAAAUACGUGGCUUAAAGGGAACGUGUUAGCUACGAUGGGUUUUAGAAGUAUGGAUUUAGUUGGAGAACCGUAGAAACACAGGUUGUCUCUCAAAAUCCGACGCAAUUCAUUUUUAAUUGCUGACUUAAGGCAGAAAAAAUAUCCAAUACGCAUGGGACUGUAAUGCUAAUAACCACUGAUGAUCUAUAGUCAAUAAUCAAGAUUCACAGAUUUUUGAAUAAUCAAAAAGGACAUUAGCACGGAGAAAGCGAAAAAUAAAAGGAAUGUAAAGAAAAGUGAAGAAAAAGAGAAACGCCGGAACGAAAGAAUGAAAAGGCAAAUAUAUAGAGACAGGGGGGUAGGAAAAAAAGAAAGAAGAGUAACGAAGAGGGAGGGACAGAGAGAACAUAGAGAGGAAGAGGGUUUAUGUUCUAAAGCCCGCGACCCACCCCCUAUAAAUUCUAGCAGCCAAGGGGGUUUCCGUUAAAGUAGAACUGCUACUGCAAUAGUGUAUCUGUCGAGCAGCCUAAAGUCGAUAGAACGUUUUCGAUCGUGUCGUUGGUCACGAGAUAUGAGCAUAUCUCGCUUUAAAGCGACUCGGAAUUCUAUCGCAUCUCGCCCAUACCCUCCUGGAUUACCCUCAUCUUCGAGGCUGCGAUUUCGCCUCAUUUUUUUUCGUUUUUACCCCUUUUCUCUGGUUGCUCUUGCAACCCUCGUUGCACGUUUCUACCACACGCGAAAACGUACAAACACCGAGGGUGUCGAGAGCGAGUCGGGGAUGACGUCGAUUGGAAUAGCAGCAGCAGCAUCGUCGCAAAUUAGAGGCUACUCCCUUUUGGUCGAGGCACGCUGCUGUAUUAUGGGGAUUCUGCGACGCGAUCAAGGGGCGUUGUAACCACAGCAGCGCUACGAAUUGAUCGAUAACACCCGGGAUCGAUAUUGCAUCUCCGACGAGUCCAGGCGAAUUCGGUUUUACCAAUAAACGCAAAUCGAUACAGCUUAGAAGGGAACGGUCCUGAGGUGUGACUUUUUGAUGAGCCUUUGGUUAAACAACAGAAUACAACAUCAAUUUUCGAGUACUAGGCAUCAUUGUGCAAAGACACACCCGAAAGUCAGGGUUACACCUUGGAAUCUACCCCUUGUUGGACACAGGUGCAUUAUAACAGUAGCAAACAAGUAGAAAACUUAAUUGUUACAUAAUGCACAGUUGGGUGCAACAGAGGCUUCUUUUAAAGUAAGGUGUAGGGAAAAGAGUGUCCUAUCAAUCGCCUUGGACUUACCCUCUUAGGCAAGUGGAGGGAGGUUCCUUCCCCCACACUUACCCUACUUUUAUUUUCAGAAGAACCCUACGGUUGCACCCAAAUGUACCUAUAUGUCUAUGAUAAUGUCUGAAACACAUAAAAAACAAUUGUGUACGAAUGUAAGCCUAUGCCAUGCGACGUGGUUGGCGUAUCGACCGAUUGCAGCUUCGUGCAAUUUACAAGAGGAGGGAACCUGUUCGCUUGGACAUCGCGUCGAUACGCUCGAAGCACGAUGUUAAACGAAUCAAUUAUGACCGUACGUUGACGAUUCAUGGAAGUCGCAUGCGAGGGCAAAUUGACUGAUGUAUUAUUGUGUGAAUGCGAAAGAAAAUUCGUAAUGAGCUUAACGUGAAAAAAUAAAAAAAAAUUCGUGUAAUCUGAGAAUAAUGAUUGAUAAUAUUUCAAUGAUAAUAAUAAUAAUAGUAAUAAUAACGAGAAUGAGAAUGAGAAUAAUAAUAAUAGGCGGUAGCGGUAGUAGUAGCAAUAGUGUCAGUAUUAAUAAUAUAUAAUGUUUGGCAUCGUUAUCUUCGCGUCUGUACAAAUGGUUCGCUUUCAUUGAAACGCUUCGAUGUUUAUUUCAUUUCCUUUCUGAAUCGAAACGUUUCCUUUGUAUACAGAAAAUUUAUCUAGUUUUGGUUGUUAACAACGUGUUCCCCAUAUUAGAGCGAAUUACAAUCUAAACUUAAUGAACCAAUAUCUUCGUACGUUAAUAAUAACAUAAUAAUAAUGGUAAUGAUACAAUAAUAAUAACAACAAUUAACUAACGAACAAAUUAAAUAUAACUAAAAAACGUUAAAUCGAGCUUGUAUAAAAAACAUUUAACGCACUUCCGGUAUAUUAACGAAAAUAGUGGUAUCAGUAGCAGCAGCAGCAGCAGCGAUAUUAAUUCUACUAUAAUAUAAAAUAUAAAAAUUGUUUGAGAACACAUGGCUACCGAGGACGUUGCCGACCACCUCUGAUAUUAUUUCAUUGACAAAUAAAGGAGGAAAAAACAGUACGGUCUGAGGAGGUCGACAUAUUAUUUAUGGUUUAUUAACAACGAGACUUUUUUGUGUCGGUAGGAAGACGUGUAGAACGAUCUUACUCAACAAAAAUGUAGAGGGUCGAUGAUUUGAUGGAAAAAUCAGGUGGAGUGUUCCAGAAAGGUUGGGUCAAAUUUUAAGGGAUAAUUUUGAUAAACAUCUUUCCCUAAACUUUGACACAACCUUCAUUAAUGUACAGUUGGGUGCAAUUAAGGCUUUUAUGGUUAAAAAAAAAAUUGAGAGGAAGAAACGUUCCAUCACUUUCAAGAUUAGAUUCUCCCAAGAUCAAAGACAAAAUGGUGGAGGUUCCUCCUUCUGCACUUACCCUUAAUUAAGAGAAGCUUACGUUGCGCACAACUGUACAUGUCUGGAAUGAUAAAAAAUGUUCUAAUUUCUAAAUUUCUGUCAAAUAUGGCGGUUUGUAAUGUUCGUCCCGGUGCCAGAUGACGGGGCGCACUUCCGUUAUGUUCAAAGAAAACGUACAAUCAGAAAGCACCACUCGCUAGAGAAAAUACUGUUGCGUUUUCUCCUUAAACGAAUUAUUAACUAAUGGCAUGCUUGUACUAUCUGCGGUGAAGCGAUACGGCUGUGUCUCUCUGUUCACGAAUAGCAAAAGUUUGCAACAAAAACUAAUAAACACUAUUGUACACACGUUGAACGCACGAAAACUUCUAUACAACUCUAUUCCCCACGGAUCUCGUAUACACGUGGAACUCAACGUUUGAUUUAUUGCUGUUCACCUUUCUACCCCCGCGAAUAACAUUUCCGGUCAUCGGAUACGAUUUUCGAUACUUUCGUUGGUGAAACAAUGCCAGCUACGCGAAAACUGAUAAUUAUUAUUAAACAAUUAAUUAGCUUUGAACGGUAACUUGGAGAAUGGUGAGAAAUUUUCAAAUAAAACUUAAUAAACCUAAAUAUUAAUAUUUUGAAUGGUUUGAUAAUUUAUAUACAACAAAUUUCUAUUAACCCAUAAAAAACGUCACGUUAGAAUAAAAAACUGCUUCGAAGGGUUAAUAAUAAUAAUUAAAAAAAAAAGUGACAAAGAACUCGAAGGCAAACAAUUCCAUCGAUCGUUGUUAUUUCAGCAAAGCUUUCAGGGUGCCGUGUCCACAUAGAGGCCAUGGCUUUCAGAAGAUGAAUACUUCAACAACGACGUGCUUCGAUAUGCAUAAAUCAGUUUAACGCGCAGCUGGCAUCGAACACAGAAAGUUCAAUAUUACGAAUCCACGGGGGCAAGCACCCUGCCUUCUCUCUAAAGUAAUCGAGAAUCAAACCCAUUCGAAUUUUAGCUGUCGUGUGUUCCAUUUUCGCGGCACAUUAAAAUAACGCGUAUGGCUCUGUUACCUUUUCUUCUUUUUUUUUUUUUCAUCCGUGUUGUACAGUGUGUGUGUGUGUGUAUAAACGGAUGUAUCUUUUAUAUACAAAUCAACUUUACCUCUACAACCUCGUACAUAUCGGAACAAUUGAAUCUUUUGGUACUUGGUUUGCAUCGAGAUCGGUACCUUGAAUGUACUACUCUUUUGAAAAUCAAUCUUGAAAUAAGUAGCGUUUUGAAUAAUUGCAAUCAUGGCUAUCGCGAUGGAAAAUAAUUCUGCAAUUUGAAAAUUAAUUGUACAGGGUAUAAUAAUGGAACCCCUCUAAAUAUGAAACUUAAAGUCACUAAGAUAUAUUCAAUUUUAAUUCCAGGUACCGAUCUUUGUAUCUUAUCUGCUGCGACUGGUACACUAGGCUUCAGGGUGUGCUUAAGGUACGCGUUUCAAAGGGUACAUUAUGCCUAGCUUAAUCUAAGCGUAUCAAGGGACGGAGCGUUGGACGGGGGGGUCAAAAGUAACCUCUGUAGUCGAGAAUCGGCCCAGGAAAAAAAAAGGAGAUUUCUACAUCACGAGAAUACCAUAUUUCUUUUUUCUGUUUCUUAUUAUUUAUCACAGGAACGUAGAAGAGAAAGAGAUUCCAAUUCGCGUCUAAAUUUACUCACUGACGUAAUUAGUAUUUUUUUAUCUCAGGCGGCUAGCAAUAUUUUUGUAUCAAUUUGAUCAUUUCUGAUAGAGUAUGGGGGCCACUUUGAACCCUCCCUAGUUACGUCAAUGUUAUACUACUUGGGAUCAAAAAAAAAAAGUUGUGAAAAGCCCGAUGAGAGAAAAAGAGUAGUUUUGUUCACUGAACACCGGAUGUGUAGAUCUUGUUCGGCGUUUAGCUCCUUCCGAUCGAACGCUCGUCCCUUUCGACAAAUUCACACGCACGUUCACGCAUCGUUUUCUGUCUCUUUCGCUUAAGCUAGUAAAAAAAUGAGCCAUUCCCUUUUGCUCUUUCUCUGGCCGGGUCUAGCGACAAAAAGGGCGAGCGUGCGAGACGCGUGGAUUACGAUGGAGAUUAAGUGAUAUGUGUUCCUGUUAAAACGCAUCUAAGAAAAACCAACACGCACACACGCACACAUACAUACAUGUAUACACGAGCUUUUGAUAUUGUUCCAUCAAAUGAAACAAUGAAAAUCAAUAUCUUUUGAUUUGUGCUUGCACGUGUUACCUUUUCAUAUAUUAUUUGAUCGAAUUAAAUGACGCUCUAUUAAUUUGAUCAUUUUAGAUUCUUCGAAUGUGAACAGCGAAUGGUCAUUUAGUCUCGAUCAAAUGAUAUUUCUCAAUGAUCGCAAACGCAGCCUUAGACCCGUACAAAACUACUAAAAAGUACAUGUUUUUUUUUUUUUUUUUACGUAUAUACGGUUGCACGGACGAGUUUCACUUACGAGUAUAUUCGCUCUGCUAGAAACUUACUGGAUUCUAAGAUACUCCAAGUAGAACACUUAUCAAUCGAAUGGAAAUUGAAAUUAAGGUGUAAUUAAUGAUCCAAAUUCUGUUACGUUCUACGUAGAGUAUCGUUCCAAGUAUUGACCGAGAAAUAUCAGUUUACAUUCAAAUUGUAGAAUGUCAGAGUGUAAAAUAAAGCUCGUUGGUCCUGUUCUAGCCAGAUAUAGGUGGUAGACACGGUGGUAAUGCGAUGAUUUAGCCACGCGUUAGACCACGCACGAUUUUGGCAAACAAUUGUUAAAAUAUUUUUAACAAAUGAAGCUACACCGAUGCGAAAGGUAGGAAAUUAUUUGGUAAAUGUUAUAGUUUCAUACUUCGAUUGCAAAAGAUAAACUGUAACUAAUUACCUAUUCUAUUUGUUCGUUAAAAAUUAACAUGUCGAUACCAAAUAUUUAUAGCGUUCAAUUCUAUAUUAUAUAUUCAAAAAUUAAUUUGUGGAUCCAAAAUUGGAGGUUUAUAGCUAAUACUAAUCAAAAUAAAAGAAUCUUAAGAGAAAUUUACAGUUUGCCAAAUCGUGGUCUAAUUAAAUGGUUUUGUUUUUCUGCUCCAAAUGUACAUUUCCUCCUGUGACUCGAACGAAUGUUUCAAAUUCACCUGAACUUUCGAAUUCACAGGAUUCGAGGGUCAAUUCAGGUUUUUCAAAUUUUUUCUCAUUUUCUCUAUUUCCUUUUUCCCCAUGAACUCUCAUCGUUUCCCGAUACCCGGUCAAGUACAGUAAAGGCACGCGAUAAGAAAUGGAAGGAGACAGUUCAAGAACCCAUUACACGUUUCGUGUUCGAUCUCUAUUUUACACCGUUACGAGAGAAGACCACGUGAUGUUUUUCAUUAAUUCAACAGUAAUCUAAUUAACACAUCGAAUACCAUUCGCUGCCGAACUCCAAAAGUAAAGUCGGUCGCUGGAUGCCUCAACGUUUCAACGUCGACGAUCGGGCCCGCGAUAUCGCGUGAUCGACAGCGAACGCGUUAAAUGGAAAAAUCCAUGAAAGAUAUAGUGAUUUUUUAAUUAAUUCCAAAGCUAUGCACGCGAGAAACGAAGCACCAAAUUCAAAAAGUCUAAACAAGAAAUUUUCUUUUCCCCCCAUUAGAUUUCUACGGUACAGCUUUAUAACAAUUUAAAAUGCAACAAAAGAUUAUAUAAUUUCUCAAACAAUUAAAAAAAAAAUGAUAAGAAUGAAUUUUUUUCUUACAGAUCUUUGAGAUAGAGAAAAAUCGACACGUGGUGUCCAGCCGUGAGAUUUUAUCCAAAAAUUCUUGGGAACGAAUAUCAUAGAUUCUCUGCAGGGACUUUCUAAAUAUUAACGUUACUUUAUCCGACGAAUCUUAAUCGUUAAAGUUUAUUUAAUAUUGAAAAUUUCCGAAAUCGCGGUUAACUCGAUUCUUCUAAUCCAUCCUUAUUUUUCUCUCCCUCGCGCGCGCGUGCUCUUUCUCUCUUUUAUUAUCCUUUUUUUUCUUUUUUUUUUGGUUUUCUUAGCGUACGUACGUUUAUUGUUUAUGAGAUGUGUGUAUAAAAAAAUAUGAAUCGUUUCAUUUCAUCUAUUAGAGGUAGAUACGCAGGAAACAGAAGCGGUAUUCUUUUAUCAUUUUCUCUUUUUUUCUUUCUUUUUUUUCUUCUUUAUUUAGUUUUGCAUCUUUUGCGUAUAGUAAACUAUUGCUGAAUCGACUGACUUCUUGUUUUAUUUCCUCUCACGGUUUCGAAGGAUCUUUGAAGUAGAUAAAGAAAGGAAACGGUUGUCGACGAACCACCGCGAGAGAAACGAAUAUUAAAUAAAU